Molecule: long non-coding RNA, 2154 nt
Organism: Neogale vison (American mink)
Lineage: Eukaryota; Metazoa; Chordata; Mammalia; Carnivora; Mustelidae
Exons: 7
Source: RefSeq, a predicted model, not a curated record
UCCGUGCCUGACCAACUGAGCCACCACGACACCCCUAUUUCUGUUGUGGAGCUGACCUCAUCUACUAACUGAAGACAAUACCGAAGAAGGCAGAAUGGGUGAUGUAGUUUGAGCUCCUAGGGUCAGCCAUUACUGAACAUUAGUUAACCAAUAACUUGCUUUUUUUAUGUUUAAGUUAAUCUGUGCUAUGUUUCUGGCACAGGUGACCCAAACAAUCUGGACUAGUAAUACAUGCUUCUACUUGUAUUGCAAAAUAUCUUCCCUUUCAACCCAUCUCCAUAACUAUUAGCAGCCUACAUCCUAAGUAGCAGAGGACGAGGGAAGACAGCUUACCGGUAAAACUUUCUGAUCUUCAUUGCCACUUGAGAGAUGCUCUUAUGGGGGUGGGAGUAUAUGUCUUCAGGCAUCUCAUCUGUUGAUCACUGUAUCCUUGAUCAGCACCCAAAAACCCUCACCCAGAUCAAAAUAGAAGUUUCCCUUGCUGUCUGAGAGUUUGCUUUAUGACAGUUUGCUUUUACAAAAGACCUACAUCAGUACCCAUUCUUUUGCUAACUGAAAGAUAUUUGAAGAUGACUUUUGCUUCUACAAAAUGGUAAUUCUUUUCCAUUCACAACAUUUCAACUUAUGCAAGUUUUCAUAGGAACGUUCUGUUUUCAGAUAGUGAAGGAAAACUUGUAUCCUACUUGACCUCUAAGACAGGAAAAUGCCAAACAGAAUCUUGGAGUAAUUUUCAAGCGUUUACUUUGGAGAAGUAAGAAUUAUACUGUUUAGAUAGAUUUGUUUUGAACUGUUCAGUAGAUCAGGAUGUUGAUGGUUGAUGUUGAUGUUUAGUCUUUAAUGACACAUAGAACUGGUCAGUAAGAUUUGGCCAUACAAAUGUUUUCACUCUUAAGCUUCAGUGAACUAUUUCUUCCUCUAAGUGAGAUCAAUUAAUUGAACCCAUUAUACUUAGCCCCCAUUUCAGUAGGUCUUCAGAAGGAAUAAGUGCAUGAGACACAAGCCCUUGACUCUAAUGUGUCAGCCAUGGCUCCUGGAGUGUCCACAUGGAUCCAACAACUGGACUGAAGAAUGGGGCAGCCGCGCUGUAGUUCUGGCCCAGGAGGGGUAAUCCAAUUCACACCCACUGUGCACCAUGUCCAUCACACAUCACAGUGAGAGGACUGUGUUGAGGGCCUGGCACCAAGUUAGCACAUCUUCCGUGAGAAUGGUUAGAAGCUCUUGCCUUUCUCAUCCUCGUCCUGAUGACUUCCCACCAGAAACAUGAUGAAUUUAAUGGCCAGAAGCUGGACGUGGGAGAGAGCAACUUCCCUGGGGCGGCAGACUAAGUGCGGGGGCUCCGUGGAGACCUGCCGGGGGAGGUGCAGACACGGAAUGGAUAAUGAUCAGUUUUACAAAGGUAACAGCCAUGCUCUUUAUAAAAAUUCAAAUGUGACAGAGACAUAUAAUGGAGAAAUGUAAGACAUCCCAACCAACCAUCCACAGGUGAUUUUUUGGGAGGACCGCUCAUUUGUAAUCGGAAACACGUCAGCCAGGUAGCUGUUCCAGGAGAAGAAUCUCCAGGAAAUGGCUGGACAUUGCGACAACGGGACGCUGGGAAGCAAAUGUUUCUUCCUCCUAUGGAGUGGGGAUAUGCUCUGUGACUCGGGAUGAAUCCACGGAGGCACCUUUGGUCUUAGAUGUAGGCACUGACUACCUGGAAGGGGUGUCCAAGGCUUUGGGGGACAACACUCUCUGGUCUGUUUUGGAAAUAGCUCCUUUAACAGGCUUUCAUCCAUUGUUCCUGGGCUAUUACAUGUUACUUGUAAGGGCUCCUACUUUCAGGAGCUUCAGAUAAAAGCCUGCUUUACAUCAGGGAGAAGCGUGGUUUUGCAAAAUGUUGUUGUAAUCAGAAUGAGCUGCUAACAGAAGUUUCUUGGUUCUAUGUGUGAUCUCUUUAUGUGUGAUGCUUCCUGUGUCAUGUUAGAGUCCAUAAACUAUGAACCCUGGGCUGCUUCCAGCCUGUUGCUUGUUUCUCCGUGGCCAGCAAGUUCAGAAAGAAGGAUGUUUCCAUUUUUAAAUGGUGGAGGACAAAAUCAAAAGAAGAGUAGCAUCUUGUGAUAUGUGAAACUCCUAUGAAAUUGAAAUUUCAGGGUCCAUAAAUAAAGUUUUGUUGGA